This is a long non-coding RNA of Panicum virgatum (switchgrass), 1412 nucleotides long. RefSeq lists it as uncharacterized. Lineage: Eukaryota; Viridiplantae; Streptophyta; Magnoliopsida; Poales; Poaceae. The transcript is spliced from 2 exons. The record is from RefSeq and is a predicted model, not a curated record.
CCCCCUCCCCUCUGCUUCCGCCGGCAUCCCCCUCCCUUCCGCUGCAAGGCGGCCUCCGCCGGCAUCCUCCUCCCCCCUUCGACCGCCCCCUCCCUCCCCCGCCCUGCCUCCCCACCGGAUCUGGGGCCACACGGGCAGUCUGCCGGCGGAUCUGGGGGCGGCCGGCCUGGGGCGGCAAGCCACUGCCGGAUCUCGGGCCGGCCGGUCUCAGGCGCCGCCACCGGGCUCUUGGCCGAGAGAGUGAGAGAGAGAUGGUCGGGCAUAGAUGUCUAAGAUGGCGGAGGAGAAGGCGGCCGGGGCGGCGGACGCGGUGCAGCAGCAACAGCUGGUGGUGGGUGAGGCGGCGGCGGUGCGGGUGCAGCCCGUGGAGAAGCUGCUGCGCGUGGCGCCUCUGGGGUUGUACGUCGUCGCCAUGGCCGUCGCCUACUCCGACCUCGGCGGCUUCAAGUACCUCGUCUACGCUAACGGCCUCUGCGUAGCCUUCUAGCUCGUCAUGGCCUUCUACACUGCCGUGCCAAGGCCCGCCACCGUGUCGCGCUCCUAGGUCGUCUUCUUCCUCGACCAGAUCCAUCGUUGUUCUUGCCAUCCAUCUCUGCUCUGCCCUCACUUUUCACUUUUACACAUUCAGCUGGUAGCAGAAUGUUGAAAAUACUUUGAAGAAUGUCUUUUCUCUUCUUUUUUGCCAACAACACGUGGCGAUUUUUACAAGUAAAAUCAUGUUAGGAAAAGAAUUUUUUCUGUGCUGGGCAUAUACUUGCUGUUACGAGUUAGGACUUGCUAUAGUUAUAGUCAGUGCCUUUGAGUGCUAUACUUGCUAUAGUUAUAGAUCUUAGUCUAGUUAUAGUCAUUUUGGUCUUUGUGUGCUGUAGGAACUAUUAUGAUUAUUCUUUUUUAUUUGCCUUUCUUUUACUAGUUUCUAAAAUUUUUGUCAUGCAGCUUUGUGGUGGCGAGUGCAGACUUGUCACUGAGGUGAGCAGAGGUGGAGGAGAAGAGAGACAAAAUGAAUGUGUAUCUAACUGCUUGUUGCUAAAGUGAAUUUGUGUUAUUUUCAUGUGUUGAUUAUAUAUCAUUGGCUAGCUGUGGCUUGCAGAAAGAUGUGAGGAGGUGGAAGCUAGAGCCAAGGAGCUUGAGAAGCUGCACCUAGACUAAGGAAGGCCCCGAAGAAGGAAAGGCCCUGCACUGUUAAACUGAUAUUCUACAGAUUAGCUUGAGGUUUGCUAAAAGUACAAUCAGUGCAAUAUCUAUAACUUGGGUUGCUUGCUGGCUUAGCUCUGUUCUGCAGCAAGUUAAACUUGUCUCUGUUCAACUUUCUCUGAAUUGUUUGAUUUGGUUAGGUCAGUUAUGGUUAUCUACAUUUGUCAUACAUUUUUGUUGCUAUCAAUGCUUAUUGGCUAAGAUUUGUUUAUUAUCUG